AAAGAAGUGGCUUCCAUCACCUUUGUCAUCAUCUAUCGGUUAGAAGCAAGUCACAGGUCUUGCCCACACUCAGUGAGAGGGAUUACAUGAAUGUGUGACCACCAGGAGAUGGUAACAAUUGGGGUCAUGAGGGGAUAUGACUGCUACAAUCUCCCAUCAUCAAAAACAAAAACAGGAAUCUAUCAAAGCAAGAGCACCAGUGAAGAAUCUAUUUGGCUGAUAUGGACCCUGUUCUUGCUGGUUAAUGAUGAGCAUCACUGUUCAGCUAGAACACUUGCAUGAUCAUUACAUGGAUGACUCCCUGUGGAAAUGGGAAAGGAAUAAGGAAUACAUAUUUGGAAUGAAGAACAGUUUACAAACACUUGUUUGUUGGUACUAAUUUACAGAGAAUAGUGCAGGAGUUAGCUUUAUUUUUUCUUUAUUAAUAUUAUGUAUGUAUAACUUUAUAUAUGUUAUAUGUGUAUCUUACAUAUACAUUUCUAGAGACCUUAGGAAUAGAAAUCUGAAGAGCUGAGUUGCAAACCCCUUAUUUUCAAGGGUCGAACACUUCAGGUAGUUGGUGAAUAAUUUAUUACAAAGAAUCUCUACUUAGAAUUGUAACGUGUGUGUAUAUAUAUUAUAUGUAAUUAUACAUAUGUAAUAUAUACAUACAAAAAGACAGAGAGACAGAGAGAGACAGAGAAUUUACGCACCAACCAACACAAAUACAUAUGGAAUAAUAGAACAUAUGUUAAUAUCCCUAAAAUUCAGUAUGUAUGAGGCCAGAAGAGAGCGUUCAUAAAAUAUAAAGGAUCAACAUUAUGUAUACGAUGUUUUCUCACUGCAGUGAAUUAAAAUUAGAUACCAUUAGCAAAAGAAUGGAUUAUAACAAAAUAAUGGAUUCUACAUUGAGAUCUUUGUCGUCAACCAUUCUCUCAUUACUUCUGUCUCAACAAGUGAAGCUCUAGGUACAGAAUGUUCUACAAGUUAGCGUUUCCAAAAUUUCAGGAAACACACAAUCUGUGUCUUACAUAAGUUGUUUCAGAACACAUAAAAGGACUAAAAACUGCCUAACUCCUUUUAUGAGACUACUGUGAUAUUUUUAAAGUUAAGCAUCACAGAAAAAAAAAAGAAAAUGCAACCGUCAGCCAACUCAUAGCUGAAGCAGGGACACUGUGCAGCUCUUGGCGCUUGUUCUUAAUAUGUGUUCAGAGGGCUAAUACUCUGUCAAGCAGGGAGGAUGAUAGCCAGAGCAAACAGCCACGGUCCUCACGGUGGAAAAUAACGUUGCCAGAAAAUUCCGCACAUCUGGAAAGAACAGCAAUGAACAGGAACUUGUGCAUUCGUGCUAGGCUCCUACUGGGCCCGCUUCGUUUCAUUUCCUCCAUUUUUAUGACACUUUCCUAUGCUGCUACUCCAGACAUUCCAUCAAACACCUCGCCACGAACAAAUUGAAAGGGAAGGAAAUCUAAAGAAAGUCUGACUGAAUUUCUGAGUGUCUCAUCACCAGAAUGACCAGGAAAACCUGCCAAGAGUGUAGAUUCAGGCCCCUAAUCCCACUUCUCUGCAGUCUCCUCUUGGUCUCUGUGUAUAAGCUCUCCUGCCUUUUUGCACCUCUAAUCCAUUGUCAGACAAACUGGCCUACUUGUGUUUGCCUCUGAGAGCCUGUCCACUUCCUCACGUUAGGAGAAAGAACACAAAGAAUCCUAGCUUUGAUUCAGUUUUCCAUACUUCAGCCAUCAGUCUACCAUCAAGCACAUUUUUUACUGGACAAAUGAAAAGUCAUUGCUUUCAUUUUUUAUUUUUAUUUUUAUUUUUUUAGACUGAAUCUCACUCUGUCACCCAGGCUGGAGUGCAGUGGCGCAAUCUCGGCUCACUACAACCUCUGCCUCCCAGGUUCAAGCAAUUCUCCUGCCUCAGCAUCCCAAGUGGCUGGGAUUGCAGGUGCCCACCACCAUGUCCAGCUAAUUUUUUUGUAUUUUGAGUAGAGAUGGGGUUUCACCAUGUUGACUAGGCUGGUUUUGAACUCCUGACCUCAAAUGAUCCACCCACCUCAGCCUCCCAAAGUACUAGGAUAAUAGGUGUGAGCCAUGGCACCCCGCCAAUAUUUUUGUUUCUAAUAAAACAAGAACUAGUAGUGCACUCCGUCUAGAGCAAGAUAGUGUGCUGGGGACAGGGAGCAAGUAGGUAGGGGAUAAAUAGGUCAAGAACUGAGUUCACAAUUGAGGCUUUAAGCUUGAUAAGAAAUAAAGCAAGUUUGAAUCAUCUGGGUCCCUGGGGAAGCAUUUGUUUAGAAAAAGAUCAAUAGUAAAUAAAAAUACCACGCACCUA
Long non-coding RNA from Pan troglodytes (chimpanzee), 2310 nucleotides. RefSeq lists it as uncharacterized. The transcript has 4 exons. Lineage: Eukaryota; Metazoa; Chordata; Mammalia; Primates; Hominidae. The record is from RefSeq and is a predicted model, not a curated record.